RNAcentral lists this ribosomal RNA (253 nucleotides) under uncultured bacterium. Its description in RNAcentral is "partial 16S ribosomal RNA". It matches the Rfam family "Bacterial small subunit ribosomal RNA", at positions 524 to 776 of the family's 1533-position model. The record is from RNAcentral.
UACAGAGGGGGCAAGCGUUAUUCGGAAUUAUUGGGCGUAAAGGGUGUGUAGGUGGCGCGCUAAGUCGGGUGUGAAAUUUCGGAGCUUAACUCCGAAACUGCAUUCGAUACUGGCGUGCUUGAGGACUGGAGAGGAGACUGGAAUUUACGGUGUAGCAGUGAAAUGCGUAGAUAUCGUAAGGAAGACCAGUGGCGAAGGCGGGUCUCUGGACAGUUCCUGACACUGAGACACGAAGGCCAGGGGAGCAAACGGG